RNAcentral lists this ribosomal RNA (484 nucleotides) under uncultured bacterium. RNAcentral describes it as "partial 16S ribosomal RNA". It matches the Rfam family "Bacterial small subunit ribosomal RNA", at positions 30 to 507 of the family's 1533-position model. The record is from RNAcentral.
AUUGAACGCUGGCGGCAGGCCUAACACAUGCAAGUCGAGCGGAUGAAGGGAGCUUGCUCCUGGAUUCAGCGGCGGACGGGUGAGUAAUGCCUAGGAAUCUGCCUGGUAGUGGGGGAUAACGUCCGGAAACGGGCGCUAAUACCGCAUACGUCCUGAGGGAGAAAGUGGGGAUUCUUCGGACCUCCGGCUUUCGGAUAACCCUAGGUCGGAUUAGCUAGUUGGUGGGGUAAAGGCCUACCAAGGCGACGAUCCGUAACUGGUCUGAGAGGAUGAUCAGUCACACUGGAACUGAGACACGGUCCAGACUCCUACGGGAGGCAGCAGUGGGGAAUAUUGGACAAUGGGCGAAAGCCUGAUCCAGCCAUGCCGCGUGUGUGAAGAAGGUCUUCGGAUUGUAAAGCACUUUAAGUUGGGAGGAAGGGCAGUAAGUUAAUACCUUGCUGUUUUGACGUUACCAACAGAAUAAGCACCGGCUAACUUCGUG